AGAGUUUGAUCCUGGCUCAGAUUGAACGCUGGCGGCGUGCCUAAUACAUGCAAGUCGAGCGGUCCCUUCGGGGAUAGCGGCGGACGGGUGAGUAACACGUAGGCAACCUGCCUGUAAGACUGGGAUAACUAUCGGAAACGAUAGCUAAGACCGGAUAGCUGGUUUUCUCGCAUGAGAGAAUUAUGAAACACGGGGCAACC
RNAcentral lists this ribosomal RNA (200 nucleotides) under uncultured bacterium. RNAcentral's name for it is "partial 16S ribosomal RNA". It matches the Rfam family "Bacterial small subunit ribosomal RNA", at positions 8 to 212 of the family's 1533-position model. The record is from RNAcentral.